UUAAGCGACUAAGCGUACACGGUGGAUGCCCUGGCAGUCAGAGGCGAUGAAGGACGUGCUAAUCUGCGAAAAGCGUCGGUAAGGUGAUAUGAACCGUUAUAGCCGGCGAUGUCCGAAUGGGGAAACCCAGUGUGAUUCGUCACACUAUCGUUAACUGAAUACAUAGGUUAACGAGGCGAACCGGGGGAACUGAAACAUCUAAGUACCCCGAGGAAAAGAAAUCAACCGAGAUUCCCCCAGUAGCGGCGAGCGAACGGGGAGCAGCCCAGAGUCUGAAUCAGCUUGUGUGUUAGUGGAACGGUCUGGAAAGUCCGACGGUACAGGGUGAUAGUCCCGUACACCAAAAUGCACAGGCUGUGAACUCGAAGAGUAGGGCGGGACACGUGGUAUCCUGUCUGAAUAUGGGGGGACCAUCCUCCAAGGCUAAAUACUCCUGACUGACCGAUAGUGAACCAGUACCGUGAGGGAAAGGCGAAAAGAACCCCGGCGAGGGGAGUGAAAAAGAACCUGAAACCGUGUACGUACAAGCAGUGGGAGCACCUUCGGGUGUGACUGCGUACCUUUUGUAUAAUGGGUCAGCGACUUAUAUUCUGUAGCAAGGUUAACCGUAUAGGGGAGCCGCAGGGAAACCGAGUCUUAACUGGGCGUUAAGUUGCAGGGUAUAGACCCGAAACCCGGUGAUCUAGCCAUGGGCAGGUUGAAGGUUGGGUAACACUAACUGGAGGACCGAACCGACUAAUGUUGAAAAAUUAGCGGAUGACUUGUGGCUGGGGGUGAAAGGCCAAUCAAACCGGGAGAUAGCUGGUUCUCCCCGAAAGCUAUUUAGGUAGCGCCUCGUGAACUCAUCUUCGGGGGUAGAGCACUGUUUCGGCUAGGGGGUCAUCCCGACUUACCAACCCGAUGCAAACUACGAAUACCGAAGAAUGUUAUCACGGGAGACACACGGCGGGUGCUAACGUCCGUCGUGAAGAGGGAAACAACCCAGACCGCCAGCUAAGGUCCCAAAGUCAUGGUUAAGUGGGAAACGAUGUGGGAAGGCACAGACAGCCAGGAUGUUGGCUUAGAAGCAGCCAUCAUUUAAAGAAAGCGUAAUAGCUCACUGGUCGAGUCGGCCUGCGCGGAAGAUGUAACGGGGCUAAACCAUGCACCGAAGCUGCGGCAGCGACACUAUGUGUUGUUGGGUAGGGGAGCGUUCUGUAAGCCUGCGAAGGUGACCUGUGAGGGUUGCUGGAGGUAUCAGAAGUGCGAAUGCUGACAUAAGUAACGAUAAAGCGGGUGAAAAGCCCGCUCGCCGGAAGACCAAGGGUUCCUGUCCAACGUUAAUCGGGGCAGGGUGAGUCGACCCCUAAGGCGAGGCCGAAAGGCGUAGUCGAUGGGAAACAGGUUAAUAUUCCUGUACUUGGUGUUACUGCGAAGGGGGGACGGAGAAGGCUAUGUUAGCCGGGCGACGGUUGUCCCGGUUUAAGCAUGUAGGCUGGUUAUCCAGGCAAAUCCGGAUAAUCAAGGCUGAGGUGUGAUGACGAGGCACUACGGUGCUGAAGUAACAAAUGCCCUGCUUCCAGGAAAAGCCUCUAAGCAUCAGGUAACAUCAAAUCGUACCCCAAACCGACACAGGUGGUCAGGUAGAGAAUACCAAGGCGCUUGAGAGAACUCGGGUGAAGGAACUAGGCAAAAUGGUGCCGUAACUUCGGGAGAAGGCACGCUGGUGUGUAGGUGAAGCCCCUGCGGGUGGAGCUGAGACCAGUCGAAGAUACCAGCUGGCUGCAACUGUUUAUUAAAAACACAGCACUGUGCAAACACGAAAGUGGACGUAUACGGUGUGACGCCUGCCCGGUGCCGGAAGGUUAAUUGAUGGGGUUAUCCGUAAGGAGAAGCUCUUGAUCGAAGCCCCGGUAAACGGCGGCCGUAACUAUAACGGUCCUAAGGUAGCGAAAUUCCUUGUCGGGUAAGUUCCGACCUGCACGAAUGGCGUAAUGAUGGCCAGGCUGUCUCCACCCGAGACUCAGUGAAAUUGAACUCGCUGUGAAGAUGCAGUGUACCCGCGGCAAGACGGAAAGACCCCGUGAACCUUUACUAUAGCUUGACACUGAACAUUGAGCCUUGAUGUGUAGGAUAGGUGGGAGGCUUUGAAGCGUGGACGCCAGUCUGCGUGGAGCCAACCUUGAAAUACCACCCUUUAAUGUUUGAUGUUCUAACGUUGGCCCCUUAUCGGGGUUGCGGACAGUGUCUGGUGGGUAGUUUGACUGGGGCGGUCUCCUCCCAAAGCGUAACGGAGGAGCACGAAGGUUAGCUAAUCCUGGUCGGACAUCAGGAGGUUAGUGCAAUGGCAUAAGCUAGCUUGACUGCGAGCGUGACGGCGCGAGCAGGUGCGAAAGCAGGUCAUAGUGAUCCGGUGGUUCUGAAUGGAAGGGCCAUCGCUCAACGGAUAAAAGGUACUCCGGGGAUAACAGGCUGAUACCGCCCAAGAGUUCAUAUCGACGGCGGUGUUUGGCACCUCGAUGUCGGCUCAUCACAUCCUGGGGCUGAAGUAGGUCCCAAGGGUAUGGCUGUUCGCCAUUUAAAGUGGUACGCGAGCUGGGUUUAGAACGUCGUGAGACAGUUCGGUCCCUAUCUGCCGUGGGCGCUGGAGAAUUGAGGGGGGCUGCUCCUAGUACGAGAGGACCGGAGUGGACGCAUCACUGGUGUUCGGGUUGUCAUGCCAAUGGCACUGCCCGGUAGCUAAAUGCGGAAGAGAUAAGUGCUGAAAGCAUCUAAGCACGAAACUUGCCCCGAGAUGAGUUCUCCCUGAGACUUUAAGUCUCCUGAAGGAACGUUGAAGACGACGACGUUGAUAGGCCGGGUGUGUAAGCGCAGCGAUGCGUUGAGCUAACCGGUACUAAUGAACCGUGAGGCUUAACCUU
This 2900-nucleotide ribosomal RNA is filed under the name Klebsiella quasipneumoniae. RNAcentral's name for it is "23S ribosomal RNA". It matches the Rfam family "Bacterial large subunit ribosomal RNA". Lineage: Bacteria; Pseudomonadati; Pseudomonadota; Gammaproteobacteria; Enterobacterales; Enterobacteriaceae. The record is from RNAcentral.